This 497-nucleotide ribosomal RNA is filed under the name uncultured bacterium. Its description in RNAcentral is "partial 16S ribosomal RNA". It matches the Rfam family "Bacterial small subunit ribosomal RNA", at positions 28 to 507 of the family's 1533-position model. The record is from RNAcentral.
GAUGAACGCUGGCGGCGUGCCUAAUACAUGCAAGUCGAGCGAACAGACGAGGAGCUUGCUCCUCUGACGUUAGCGGCGGACGGGUGAGUAACACGUGGAUAACCUACCUAUAAGUCUGGGAUAACUUCGGGAAACCGGAGCUAAUACCGGAUAAUAUAUUGAACCGCAUGGUUCAAUAGUGAAAGACGGUUUUGCUGUCACUUAUAGAUGGAUCCGCGCCGCAUUAGCUAGUUGGUAAGGUAACGGCUUACCAAGGCAACGAUGCGUAGCCGACCUGAGAGGGUGAUCGGCCACACUGGAACUGAGCCACGGUCCAGACUCCUACGGGAGGCAGCAGUAGGGAAUCUUCCGCAAUGGGCGAAAGCCUGACGGAGCAACGCCGCGUGAGUGAUGAAGGUCUUCGGAUCGUAAAACUCUGUUAUUAGGGAAGAACAAAUGUGUAAGUAACUAUGCACGUCUUGACGGUACCUAAUCAGAAAGCCACGGCUAACUACGUG